AGACCACAAAAACAAUUUUUUAGUUCCUGAUGUCUUAGGUUUAUAGUUUUGAAACAUAAUUUUACUAAUGAAUUGUUAAGUCUAAGGAUUAUUUCUUGUUAAACCAGUAGACCAGAAAUAACUUUACUAUAUAUAAAGUAGAUUUAACAAUUGAAUAAGGGUUGCAAGUAUUUGUAAAUAAGGUAAAUAACUGUUUUCAAAGUUAGUAUGAAACUGUUGGGAAGAAGUUUCUAAAGCAAUAACUUUACAGAUUGGAGACCUGUUUUUUUUAAUAUUUUAAAGUUGUUGAUGGACCUUUAUUAUGUGGUGCUGAGAAUCGAACACAGUGCCUCAUGCAUGCCAGGCAAGCGUGCAACCACUGAGUCACAACCCCAGCCCUGAAACUAUUUAAAGGUAUGUAUCAUUUAUCUUACAUACUUAUUGUGUAAGGUGCUGUUAAUGAUGACUUAAAGUUGAAACAGAUGGGAAUCUCUCUGACAGAGAAUGAAGAUUAACGUUAAACUGAAACAGUAGUUGGAAAAUAUUUAGAAAUAUCUUUGUUAAAAACCUAUUGCUAAGUUAGACUAAAUUCCUGCAGGUACACAGACUCAGCUUGGGAAGCAGUGGCAAGAAGUUUUAAGCAAAGGUACAUCAGUCUCAAGAUUUUAAUUAAGGGGUGAACUAAGGCCUUGCAUAUACUAGGUGGGCACCUCAGGCCUCAAGCUGGAUAUAGACUAGAUGUUCUCAAAGCCGAUACAAUGAUGAUAACAUAGUUCAGCAGAUUUUCACUGAUGAGCAAUCAUGUCUUUCGCUCCUAUCUGAUGUAUCUGGCUCAACAAUCCAACUCAUUCUGUUAAAAAUGACCUUUUAUUGUCCCCAUACAAAAUUUUUAUGGACUUGGUACUACAAUGACUGUUUCAGAUCCUACCCUGUAUUUUCCAUUAAUGCCAGGAGUGAAGCUGGACAAGGUGUGUCUAUGAUCCUCCUAUCUACACUAUCCUGAGGGAUGACCAUCUCAUGAGCCCAGGAGAUAGUGGCCAGGAGAAGCAAUAAUGAGAACUCUUGAAUUCAUGAUUGGGGAGGUUAGUACCAAAACUUAGGAUAAUUUUAUUACAUACUCAAAAUUACUUAGCUUAACUAAAACAUAAAUACUUUUUAAAAAAUUACUUCACUUGCCCCAAAUGAGUGCUUAGCUAGCUAUUUUUUUAAAGAUGAAAAUAUGCCACUAAAAUGAAAGAGAGUAGGACCUUUACCAUUUACUUUGGGAUGCUGGGGAUUGAACCCUGGGCUUCAUGAAAGCUAAUCUAUGUUCUCCACCAUAAAGUACGAUAAAUUUCAAGUGUAUACUUGUUUUCUUUAACAGGUUUGCUGCAUCCUGAGAUCUAGGUAUGUCAAGAUUUAGUACAUAUAUUACAUAUUUUAGUAUGUAACCAGUGAUGUAAUGAUUCUGCCAAAUGAAUGUAAUGAUAUCACUUUCAAAACCGUUCCAUUUUUGAUUCUGAGGUUACUACACCUAAAAAGCAUCCUGUAACAUUUUUUUGCCAUGAUUAAUAUGGACUUUUCUGUUUUAGGGCUUUUGUGGCAGCUGCAGGGAUAUCACUUAAC
RNAcentral lists this long non-coding RNA (1584 nucleotides) under Marmota monax (woodchuck). The stretch from base 431 to 512 matches the Rfam family "Small nucleolar RNA SNORD79". Lineage: Eukaryota; Metazoa; Chordata; Mammalia; Rodentia; Sciuridae. The record is from RNAcentral.